AGUAGUAUAGUUUUUGAAAAAUUAUAUCUUGCAAAGAUAGGGAGACCUUGAGGUUGCUACUU
Molecule: transfer RNA, 62 nt
Filed under: Leucolepas longa
Lineage: Eukaryota; Metazoa; Arthropoda; Thecostraca; Neolepadidae
Description: tRNA-Cys
Source: RNAcentral